AGCCCCGUAGUCUAGUGGCCAAGGAUAGCUGGCUCUGGACCGGCUGACGCAGGUUCGAAUCCUGCCGGGGCUACCA
RNAcentral lists this transfer RNA (76 nucleotides) under Candidatus Aenigmatarchaeota archaeon. Its description in RNAcentral is "tRNA-Gln". It matches the Rfam family "tRNA". From Rfam's summary of the family: Transfer RNA (tRNA) molecules are approximately 80 nucleotides in length. Their secondary structure includes four short double-helical elements and three loops (D, anti-codon, and T loops). Lineage: Archaea; Nanobdellati; Candidatus Aenigmatarchaeota. The record is from RNAcentral.